This 330-nucleotide ribosomal RNA is filed under the name uncultured eukaryote. RNAcentral's name for it is "partial 18S ribosomal RNA". It matches the Rfam family "Eukaryotic small subunit ribosomal RNA", at positions 1470 to 1796 of the family's 1831-position model. The record is from RNAcentral.
CCCUUAGAUGUUCUGGGCCGCACGCGCGCUACACUGAUGAAUUCAACGAGCUCCUAACCUAGGUCGAAGGGUCCGGGUAAUCUUUGAAAUUUCAUCGUGAUGGGGAUAGAUUAUUGCAAUUAUUAAUCUUCAACGAGGAAUUCCUAGUAAGCGCGAGUCAUCAGCUCGCGUUGAUUACGUCCCUGCCCUUUGUACACACCGCCCGUCGCUCCUACCGAUUGAAUGGUCCGGUGAAAUGUUCGGACCGCGACAAGGCGGACGGUUCGCUGUCAGCUUUGCUGCGGGAAGUUCAUUAAACCUUAUCAUUUAGAGGAAGGAGAANUCGUANCA